GAUCCUGGCUCAGGAUGAACGCUAGCUACAGGCUUAACACAUGCAAGUCGAGGGGCAUCGGGAUUGAAGCUUGCUUCAAUUGCCGGCGACCGGCGCACGGGUGCGUAACGCGUAUGUAACCUACCUAUAACAGGGGCAUAACACUGAGAAAUUGGUACUAAUUCCCCAUAAUAUUCGGAGAGGCAUCUCUCCGGGUUGAAAACUCCGGUGGUUAUAGAUGGACAUGCGUUGUAUUAGCUAGUUGG
RNAcentral lists this ribosomal RNA (245 nucleotides) under uncultured bacterium. RNAcentral describes it as "partial 16S ribosomal RNA". It matches the Rfam family "Bacterial small subunit ribosomal RNA", at positions 15 to 252 of the family's 1533-position model. The record is from RNAcentral.